This 616-nucleotide long non-coding RNA is filed under the name Sus scrofa (pig). RNAcentral's name for it is "lncRNA (ENSSSCG00040028717.1)". Lineage: Eukaryota; Metazoa; Chordata; Mammalia; Artiodactyla; Suidae. The record is from RNAcentral.
GGCAGCUGAUGUCAGGGGCUGGGCUGCCGCACGAGUGGCCUGCCGGGUGCGGGGGAAAAUGUUCGAGCGCGAGCCCCCGCGGGGCCACUGGGGAGACGGAGGGCAGAAACGGGGGCCGUUGGAGCCAGCCUAAGCUUGGGUGUAAGCUCUGUCACUCAGAGCUCGGGACUAGGCGCUUUUGGGUGCAAAACGAGUGGCCCACACAACUCCCUGGCUAGAAGAGGCCCGAGUCUGGGAGGGGAGAGAUUUGGAGAAACCGAAUCUCAACUCCAUGAAGUCAGUGACGUGUCUCUUCUCUGCUGUACUCCGGGUGCCUGAAAUGUGCCUGGCAGGAAACUUUCAUUUUGGCCACAUAUGUACCUGUGUGCACGCAGGCAUGUGUGCUUCUGUGAGCAUGCCCUGGAUCUCAAUGCCAAGGUCAACAGAAAGAAAGCAGAGAGUGAGUCACCAGCUAGCAGGAUGGAGCGUUGGAGAGUGGCCUAACAUGGGUAUUGGGAAGCUGAAGGCUGACCUGAGAGCUCCUCCUAGCAUGAGGCUCAUCUGUCAUCAUAAGCACAUGUGGGGGUCUCCUUCACUGGACUGAGGACAUGUCCUGAGUGCAGCCAUCCCUGCCAGG